RNAcentral lists this ribosomal RNA (493 nucleotides) under uncultured bacterium. RNAcentral describes it as "bacterial SSU rRNA". It matches the Rfam family "Bacterial small subunit ribosomal RNA", at positions 29 to 518 of the family's 1533-position model. The record is from RNAcentral.
AUGAACGCUAGCGACAGGCCUAACACAUGCAAGUCAGGGGCAGCACAAGGAGCAAUCUGAGGUGGCGACCGGCGCACGGGUGAGUAACACGUAUGCAACCUGCCUGUAAGCGGGGAAUAACCCGUUGAAAGACGGACUAAUACCGCAUAAUACUAAAUUACUGCAUGGUAAUUUAUUUAAACAUUUAUGGCUUACAGAUGGGCAUGCGCAUGAUUAGCUAGUUGGAGAGGUAACGGCUCCCCAAGGCAACGAUCAUUAGGGGUUCUGAGAGGAAGGUCCCCACACUGGUACUGAGACACGGACCAGACUCCUACGGGAGGCAGCAGUGAGGAAUAUUGGUCAAUGGACGAGAGUCUGAACCAGCCAAGUCGCGUGCAGGAAGAAUGUCCUAAUGGAUUGUAAACUGCUUUUGCAGGGGAAUAAAGUGCAUCACGUGUGAUGUUUUGUAUGUACUCUGCGAAUAAGGAUCGGCUAACUCCGUGCCAGCAGCUGC